CGGGGAGGUAGUGACGAAAAAUAACGAUACGGGACUCAUCCGAGGCCCCGUAAUCGGAAUGAGUACACUUUAAAUCCUUUAACGAGGACCAAUUGGAGGGCAAGUCUGGUGCCAGCAGCCGCGGUAAUUCCAGCUCCAAUAGCGUAUAUUAAAGUUGUUGCGGUUAAAAAGCUCGUAGUUGAAUCUGUGUGUCACAGUGCUGGUUCACCGCUCGCGGUGUCUAACUGGCAUUAUGUGGUACGUCCUACCGGUGGGCUUAGCUCCUUGCGGGCGGUCCAACUAAUAUCCCAUCGCGGUGCUCUUCACUGAGUGUCGAGGUGGGCCGGUACGUUUACUUUGAACAAAUUAGAGUGCUUAAAGCAGGCUACCUUCGCCUGAAUAUUAUGUGCAUGGAAUAAUGGAAUAGGACCUCGGUUCUAUUUUGUUGGUUUUCGGAGCCCCGAGGUAAUGAUUAAUAGGGACAGAUGGGGGCAUUCGUAUUGCGACGUUAGAGGUGAAAUUCUUGGAUCGUCGCAAGACGGACAGAAGCGAAAGCAUUUGCCAAAAAUGUUUUCAUUAAUCAAGAACGAAAGUUAGAGGUUCGAAGGCGAUCAGAUACCGCCCUAGUUCUAACCAUAAACGAUGCCAGCUAGCGAUCCGCCGAAGUUCCUCCGAUGACUCGGCGGGCAGCUUCCGGGAAACCAAAGCUUUUGGGUUCCGGGGGAAGUAUGGUUGCAAAGCUGAAACUUAAAGGAAUUGACGGAAGGGCACCACCAGGAGUGGAGCCUGCGGCUUAAUUUGACUC
This 784-nucleotide ribosomal RNA is filed under the name Centris longimana. Its description in RNAcentral is "SSU rRNA". It matches the Rfam family "Eukaryotic small subunit ribosomal RNA", at positions 457 to 1201 of the family's 1831-position model. Lineage: Eukaryota; Metazoa; Arthropoda; Insecta; Hymenoptera; Apidae. The record is from RNAcentral.